CAGCACCUCAAGUGGUCAGGAUGAUUAUUGGGCCUAAAGCAUCCGUAGCCGGCGCUGUAAGUUUUCGGUUAAAUCUGUACGCUCAACGUACAGGCUGCCGGGAAUACUGCAGCGCUAGGGAGCGGGAGAGGUAGACGGUACUCGGUAGGAAGGGGUAAAAUCCUUUGAUCUAUUGAUGACCACCUGUGGCGAAGGCGGUCUACCAGAACACGUCCGACGGUGAGGGAUGAAAGCGUGGGGAGCAAACAGGAUUAGAUACCCUGGUAGUCC
This 270-nucleotide ribosomal RNA is filed under the name uncultured archaeon. Its description in RNAcentral is "partial 16S ribosomal RNA". It matches the Rfam family "Archaeal small subunit ribosomal RNA", at positions 477 to 747 of the family's 1478-position model. The record is from RNAcentral.